RNAcentral lists this ribosomal RNA (253 nucleotides) under uncultured bacterium. Its description in RNAcentral is "partial 16S ribosomal RNA". It matches the Rfam family "Bacterial small subunit ribosomal RNA", at positions 524 to 776 of the family's 1533-position model. The record is from RNAcentral.
GACGGAGGAUGCAAGCGUUAUCCGGAAUGAUUGGGCGUAAAGCGUCCGCAGGUGGCUGUUCAAGUCUGCUGUCAAAGACCGGGGCUUAACUUCGGAAAGGCGGUGGAAACUGAACAGCUAGAGUAUGGUAGGGGCAGAGGGAAUUCCUGGUGUAGCGGUGAAAUGCGUAGAGAUCAGGAAGAACAUCGGUGGCGAAGGCGCUCUGCUGGGCCGAAACUGACACUCAGGAACGAAAGCGAGGGGAGCGAAUAGG